GGCCGGUUGGCCCAAUGGUAAGGCGUCUGACUACGAGAUUCCUCUGUGAGGAACAGCUAAUCAGGAGAUUCUGGGUUCGAGCCCCAGGCUGGUCA
RNAcentral lists this transfer RNA (95 nucleotides) under Mycosarcoma maydis (corn smut). Its description in RNAcentral is "tRNA-Arg for anticodon ACG". It matches the Rfam family "tRNA". Rfam says of the family: Transfer RNA (tRNA) molecules are approximately 80 nucleotides in length. Lineage: Eukaryota; Fungi; Basidiomycota; Ustilaginomycetes; Ustilaginales. The record is from RNAcentral.